This 1290-nucleotide long non-coding RNA is filed under the name Gossypium barbadense (sea-island cotton). RNAcentral describes it as "long non-coding RNA (GBAR_LNC012130)". Lineage: Eukaryota; Viridiplantae; Streptophyta; Magnoliopsida; Malvales; Malvaceae. The record is from RNAcentral.
UUGGAUUUCAUUCAAAAUAAAAUAGAGCCCAAAGAUCAAUAAAGGCCCAAAAUAUACAACAAAAAAAUGUCUUAAACAAAAGAAGAAAGUUCAAAAGAGACCAAAAAACAAGAAAAAUAGAAAAAAAAGAAUAUGAAAAGACGAAAAACCAAAGGACUAAGCAGAUAAACAUCACUCAACAAAGUAACAAAUGAAACCAUAAAAAGCAACAAAAACCCAACCACCGAAGCAGACUAUCCAGAUUCCAAAGCAUCUAAAACACAGAGCUCUUCAGAUGAUCAUAUUGAAACAAAGAAAAACCUCUACAAAUCCGCUAAAAAACCAUAAAAACUUGAAGGGGCCCUGCCCAAUUCAAUGAAAAAUUCCUCACAAACACCAAACCUGAAAGAGACCCUUAAGUUGAAACUUCGAUUUCUUGACCAAAGAAGCUGAAUCUUCGCCAUAAGGUCACAAGGAGCACAAAUGUCGCAGAUCUGCCUCAAUUGCCUUCUGCGCAAAGAGAGGAAACCCUCCAAAAAGAUAAGUAUCAUAUCUUUUUAAUCCCUCUCUAGCCAAAUAGUAUGCUGCAUCAUUUGCAUGUUUUAGUACAUAAUGGAAAACACAUUUUUGAUAUCGUUCAUGUAGCAAGCCUAAUUUGCCCGGCCCGCUAUAAAACAAAAAAAUAAUAAACCAAAUAAAAAAAACAAUACCCAGGACCAACCAAAACCCUAAGACCCAACAAAAACAAAGCCUAAUGGCCCAAAAUGCUUAUGCAUUUUCAACAAACCCUAGGCCCAACCCAUUUUGGGUGCCGCUUCAGCAAACAGCGCGCCUCCCCCGCACGCCGGACGCUACUACCCCGCGAUGUGCGCUACUCCACCACGCCACGUCAAUGGCAUGUUCGCCCACAUUCCUGCAAAUAUGCAAAAAUAAGGUGUAAAAAGGGCUAUAAAAAGCCUUCAAAAAUCCAUUGUAAUGAUCUUUUUUUUUGGAUACUAAUAGAUCAAUAAAAAACAACAGUUUCAACCACAAAUCAAGAAUCAAAUAGCAGAGCAGAAUCAAAAAGAGAAAUAAGGAAAACGUAGGUUACGGUUUUUUUAGUUUUUAUUUCUUAUUAUUUAUUUAUAUAUUUUUUCUUUAUUUUUCCUUCAAAAAUAUAUAUAUACAAAUAAAAAAAAAGAAUUUACCUUUUGGGCGUCGGGCACCGUCCACGGCGGCGUUGAAGGCGGCGGACGGCGCCGGAGGACGACCGAAUUCUAGAAAAGGGGGAGAGGAUUUUUGAGGAAAAAAAAAGAAGUCUUUCAAUUUUUU